GGGGUCAGCACCCUCGCGUCCUCAGACCCCACAUGGGAGAUCGGGGCUCUUUACUCGAUCCCAAGUAACUUUCCAGGUAGAAGAGCUUGGAAAACCAUCCGGGGAGGGAAGCCGUGCAGACCGCCUUGUCACCGACACCCCGUUCCCUUGAGCCCAGUGGGUGCCGGCGAGCGGCGGGGCCCGGACGGAGAGCGGGGAUGGCGAAGGGCGAGGAGGCGGCGCCGGCAUUAGGCGAGACCUCAUCGCUGGAGGGAUUAGAGACAUUGAGGACGCUGAGCUGCCGCUGCCCGAGAAACUUCCACGCAGCUCAGGGAUAUUUGGGCUCCAACGCUGCAGGCUCCGGCCCCACGUCCACCGAGCAACGCUGGCAUUGGAACGGUCUCGCAGUGACAAAUCUGUCCUGGUUACAGCUGUAUUUACCCUAAUUUCAGUCUCUUUGAAGUCAUUUGUCUAGUCCCUACAGUUUCUUCCUUUGGCGUGUGGUCUUAGUGCUAACUCAGCCUUGGGAGGGCAGGUUUGAAGAAUGAUUGCAGCUUAGGAUGGAUGACAACAGAUUUAGUUAAUCCCAUGUCCUUUCUGAUUUGUUUUCAUUAAGGGGAAGUUGUACAGCUAACUUUAUUUUUUUUUUUUUUUACUGGAGGGUACGGAGCAGUUUUAUAAAUGGUUCAUUCAGAUGGACACAUAGAAUGUCCAGGAAGCACAGGUGGCUACCUCAAGGGUUGAUUGGCUUGCAUGUAUUUACUAGUCACACAGCCGGGUGUUUCCACAGGUAUGGAGGGCGCUGUGUGCCCCGGAUGAAUAUGCCUUGGCGCUGUACUUCUUCAGGAGCACAUUUGAUUUAUCACCUUGCUAUAAAUCAGGAAAUUACUAGCAUAUGUGCCCUUAAUGAUGUUUAAAUUGGUUUAUGGGCUGACACACUUAACCAGUUUUAAUACACAAAUAAUUUAUAAACCAUGUUUGUCCUUGAUUAAGAAAAACAUUUUCUCCUGUUUGGACUCUCCAUUUCUAGGGCAGCUGUGGAAAUGUAGAUGUCUCCAACUUUCAUUUGCAAGCAACAAUCCAAACGAAAUUCCUAGAGUUUUGCUGAAAUAAAAUAAUCCUAUGGUAGCCAUGGUAACAAAUAGAUUAAGGGUUAUUGGUUUUUAUCUGUAUGUGAUGGGGGGCCAGUGUUGCCUCUUUAAUUAUGUUCCUAAUGAGUGAUAGUCAUAUUUCAGAUACUCAGUGCAGGAGGUAAGCCAAACCAGAAUUUAGUUUUAUAAGAGGUUAUUGGAAUAAAAACUCACUGGAGCGCAAGAGAAUGAUUUCUGUUAACUGCAGCUCCUCAUACCCUGACAGCAAAUGGAUAAAGCCUUUUUUGUUUUUUCAAGUAGAUGAGAAUUGAGUCAGCUCCUUUAAGAUUAGAAAAUGCAUUUUGCCUAUAAGCUAUUACCAAAGGAGCCUUUACAUCCGUC
Molecule: long non-coding RNA, 1451 nt
Filed under: Fukomys damarensis (Damara mole-rat)
Lineage: Eukaryota; Metazoa; Chordata; Mammalia; Rodentia; Bathyergidae
Description: lncRNA (ENSFDAG00000030166.1)
Source: RNAcentral